UACAGAGGCCUCAAGCGUUGUUCGGAAUUAUUGGGCGUAAAGAGCGUGAAGGUCGACAUGCAAGUCAAACCGUCAAAUACAGACGCUCAACGUCUGGAGGCGGCUGAUACUGCAGGACUAGAGUUCUACACGGGGGAUAGGAAUUUACGGUGUAGCAGUGAAAUGCGUAGAUAUCGUAAGGAACACCAAAGGCGAAAGCAUAUCCCUGGUGAGUUACUGACACUUUAGCGCGAAGGCUAGGGGAGCAAAUGGG
Molecule: ribosomal RNA, 253 nt
Filed under: uncultured bacterium
Lineage: Bacteria
Description: partial 16S ribosomal RNA
Rfam family: Bacterial small subunit ribosomal RNA
Source: RNAcentral